GUUCCCUGACCUGGGUAGAGUGGCAUCUGGUUUUGUGGCGCUUGUCAUACAUCAGCUAAGGACAAAGUAACUCCUUGCUUACCCCGGUUGGCUUUUGGUCUGUGCCCAUGCCUGGUUCAUACCCUGGAACAUGG
Rhinolophus ferrumequinum (greater horseshoe bat) is the source of this 134-nucleotide small nucleolar RNA. Lineage: Eukaryota; Metazoa; Chordata; Mammalia; Chiroptera; Rhinolophidae. The record is from Ensembl.